GGCUUAACCUGGGAAGUGCAUCGCAAACUGUAUUUCUGGAGUAUAUGAGAGGGUGGCGGAAUUUCCGGUGUAGCGGUGAAAUGCGUAGAGAUCGGAAGGAACGUCAAUGGCGAAGGCAGCCACCUGGCAUAAUACUGACGCUGAGGCGCGAAAGCGUGGGGAGCGAACAGGAUUAGAUACCCUGGUAGUCCACGCUGUAAACGAUGAGAACUAGAUGUUGGUUGGGGAACCAAUCAGUAUCGAAGCUAACGCGAUAAGUUCUCCGCCUGGGAAGUACGGCCGCAAGGUUGAAACUCAAAGGAAUUGACGGGGGCCCGCACAAGCGGUGGAGCAUGUGGUUUAAUUCGAUGCAACGCGAAGAACCUUACC
Molecule: ribosomal RNA, 369 nt
Filed under: uncultured bacterium
Lineage: Bacteria
Description: bacterial SSU rRNA
Rfam family: Bacterial small subunit ribosomal RNA
Source: RNAcentral